AAAGUAAAAAAAUAUUUUUUUUCGAAAAUAUUUUAAAUAAAUUUAAAAAAGAAGAUUUUUCGCGAUCAUAUUUUGCCGCGGUUAAGCCCGUGCAGCUGUCUGUCUGUCUGUCAGGUACUGAAAAAAAUCAGUACCUCGGUACUUACGUGAAAACGUGGUUUGGACUUUGCCAAAGCUAAGUUUACUUUUAAUCUAUUUUCAUCCAUUACAUUUUUUAAUAUUAUUUUUCACUUGAAAUUUGUUUUAAUACUUUGUUUUCAUAGAUACAUAUCAUUACUAUUAUUUUUAUUUUCCUUUUUUUUUUUUUUUUUUUUUUUUUUUUGUAACAGUACUUUCUAGUUUGAACUUUUCACUUCUCUAUCUUCCUAUAAUGAACUAAUAUUGUUUAAUUAAACUUAUAAUUACUUUUCAUCUUUAUUAAACUUUUUUAUUUCUGAUAGUUUUGACUUUUGCAUAAUUGCCAAGUUUCUGAAAUUUCUAACAAUAAAUUUCAUUAAACUAUUUCUGUCACUGUACUGACUUUUUUGAAUAUGGCUUCUUUGCAUGAAAAACUGAAAUAUUUCUGUUUAAUUACUGACAUGCAUUUAAUUAAUACAGAGGCAGCUGCACUCGAGUUUGCCACCGAUGCUGGACUUCUUCCCAGAGAGGAUGAGGCACCACCUUGCCCCAAGUGCCAGGCACCGAUGAGAAGCAACAAGAGAAAGGAAUCAAAGCUGGGAUGGCGUUGGGUCUGCAGCCUGAGAAAUCGCAACAACUGCUCUGGCAUGAUUAACCCCAUUGAAAACACAUUUUUUGAAGGUACAAAAAUCCCAAUAAGGGAAGCUUUAGUCAUAACUGUGUACUUUGUUCUAGAUCACAGUUUCAGCUACAUAAAUCAGCAGCUAAAGCUAUGGAGGGAAAAGCAAAAAUUACCAGUAAUUGCAAAUGAGACUAUUGUUGACUUUUUAUCAUAUUGUCGUGAGGUAUGCGAAAUUUUUGCCUCUCAUCAUAGCAGAAUGUUAGGUGGUAAAGGAAAAUCUAUAUUAAUUGAUGAAACAUUUUUGACCCGCCGCAAGUACAACCGCGGCAGGGUAACCAAAAAUAUGACCAUCGUAGUUUUAGGCAUCUACUGUCGAGAAGACAAAGAAGGAUUAUUUUUCAAGGUUAAAGGAAAAAGCAAAAGGCAUUUGUGGCCUUACAUUAAACGUCAUGUUCACCCAGAAACCACCUUCAUAUACACUGACUCUGCUCCACAAUAUAAAAGGAUAGAAAAUUUAUUUCCGGCAGCAACACAUAAAACUACCAAUCACAAGAAAGGCGUAUUCGUAGAUCCCGAUGAUAAACAGAACACUAUAAAUGAUCUUGAGGGUGAAAACAAACUUUUUAAGAGGUCUAUAAAGAGCAAGAGAACAGAUGAUAUUUGCACGCAGUACAUGGCUGUACAUUAUUACAGGCGGUUCCGCUUGAAGCCCUUUACUUAUGAUGGAGAAAGACUUGCUCAGUUUCUACAGGACAUUAAAGCUGUGUAUCCAGGCCAUGGAAAAGUCGGCCUUGAACUUAAAAUGUUGGACGAACCAACAUCAGAAAGCGAAGGAAUUGAGGACCUGAUGCCUCCAAAGAAAUCAGCCCGACAAGAUGAUGAUAUACCAUUCAUUCAGGAAGAUGAUGAUAAAUGGGAAUUCAACCAAAAAACAGAGCCCAGAAAACAAAAGGAUGGAAAUGUUGCGAAAAUGUUGCAUAUCUUUUACAGAAAGAGCUGCAGAUCCAAAAUGUCAUGAAAUACUAUGACAGAGGUAAUCCAAAAAAAUAAAUAAAAGAAAGAAGAAAACUAAUUUUGACAGAUAAAUUGACAAACAUAGAGGUAAAGAAUAUUGCAGAAAUGAGAAAUGAAUCAUGGAAAGAAAUGAAUCUUCAGUCAGAAAAUAUACAGGGACUUCAAAAAUAACAUUUUGCUGCCACUUAGACGAGGGAAGAAGCAGAUGGAGAAAUCAACUCGGAUGACAAACCCAGUACCUGGGGGUAUAGCCAGGUUUUUCUUUCAAGAAACACAUCCGAGUUGAAACGACUGAUGCGGGCCACACCUGAAAGCGAAGGAACUGAGCAACUGCUGCCACCACAGGAAAUCUCGACGAUCAUGAAAUUUAAAAUCUUGUUUACUUAUCUUGUAUUUUGAAUAUGCAUAAUAUGGAUAUUUUGUUUAGGGACUUCAAAAAUAACAUUUUGCUGCCACUUAGACGAGGGAAGAAGCAGAUGGAGAAAUCAACUCGGAUGACAAACCCAGUACCUGGGGGUAUAGCCAGGUUUUUCUUUCAAGAAACACAUCCGAGUUGAAACGACUGAUGCGGGCCACACCUGAAAGCGAAGGAACUGAGCAACUGCUGCCACCACAGGAAAUCUCGACGAUCGUGAAAUUUAAAAUCUUGUUUACUUAUCUUGUAUUUUGAAUAUGCAUAAUAUGGAUAUUUUGUUUAGGGACUUCAAAAAUAACAUUUUGCUGCCACUUAGACGAGGGAAGAAGCAGAUGGAGAAAUCAACUCGGAUGACAAACCCAGUACCUGGGGGUAUAGCCAGGUUUUUCUUUCAAGAAACACAUCCGAGUUGAAACGACUGAUGCGGGCCACACCUGAAAGCGAAGGAACUGAGCAACUGCUGCCACCACAGGAAAUCUCGACGAUCAUGAAAUUUAAAAUCUUGUUUACUUAUCUUGUAUUUUGAAUAUGCAUAAUAUGGAUAUUUUGUUUAGGGACUUCAAAAAUAACAUUUUGCUGCCACUUAGACGAGGGAAGAAGCAGAUGGAGAAAUCAACUCGGAUGACAAACCCAGUACCUGGGGGUAUAGCCAGGUUUUUCUUUCAAGAAACACAUCCGAGUUGAAACGACUGAUGCGGGCCACACCUGAAAGCGAAGGAACUGAGCAACUGCUGCCACCACAGGAAAUCUCGACGAUCGUGAAAUUUUAAAUCUUGUUUACUUAUCUUGUAUUUUGAAUAUGCAUAAUAUGGAUAUUUUGUUUAGGGACUUCAAAAAUAACAUUUUGCUGCCACUUAGACGAGGGAAGAAGCAGAUGGAGAAAUCAACUCGGAUGACAAACCCAGUACCUGGGGGUAUAGCCAGGUUUUUCUUUCAAGAAACACAUCCGAGUUGAAACGACUGAUGCGGGCCACACCUGAAAGCGAAGGAACUGAGCAACUGCUGCCACCGCAGGAAAUCUCGACGAUCAUGAAAUUUAAAAUCUUGUUUACUUAUCUUGUAUUUUGAAUAUGCAUAAUAUGGAUAUUUUGUUUAGGGACUUCAAAAAUAACAUUUUGCUGCCACUUAGACGAGGGAAGAAGCAGAUGGAGAAAUCAACUCGGAUGACAAACCCAGUACCUGGGGGUAUAGCCAG
Molecule: unclassified non-coding RNA, 3363 nt
Filed under: Stegodyphus dumicola
Lineage: Eukaryota; Metazoa; Arthropoda; Arachnida; Araneae; Eresidae
Description: uncharacterized LOC118181220, transcript variant X3
Source: RNAcentral